GCGAGCCACGCUUCACGCAACCGUGUUUGCGUACUUGUGUUUCGAGUUGCGUGGUCGUGCGGAGCUAUAUUUACCAAAUUAAUCGUUUCUACUGAUUCAUAAUAAUUAAAUCAAUAUGUCAAUAUGGCUACUGGGUGUAAAAGAUAAAUUUAUUCUAUCUGUUCUUAAUGAGUUUUAGAUAAUUUUAGUUGUAUUUCUUUGUAAUUUUGUGUUGUACAAAGAUUAAUUUAACAUUUUCUCUGGAAGUAUUAAUUUAGAAAGAUAAUAUUAUGCUUCAUUGGUGUUGUGUUUUGAAGUGUGAAAUGCAAAGUAUGUAAUUGUGAUAAAGUCAAGAUAAAGUUCACUUUUAAACUGAACUAAAGAAGGUAUCUGAGAGACAACAAUGGUUAAAUGCAAUACAAUGUACAGGUUUUGCUAGCGAAAUGAAAAUUUUCCUGUCCUGUCUGCUGUAAUCAUUUUAUAUCUGGAAAACCAGCCGACUUAAUCGAUAAUAUCAAUCUCCAGAUUGGGUUCCUUCAAUAAAUAUGGGCUAUAAACACAAUGAAAUAAGUUCCCCAAAAUCUAAAAUGGAGUGGUAUCAAAGGAGAAUUAAAGGGAAAAAUAUUCAUAUUAAAAUUAUUUAUAAGGCACUGGACUGUCUUAAAUUCUACAAUAAUACUAGAAUCAGCUGAGAGAAGUGGUCUACAAAAAACCAGGAAGGAAACGGAAUAUGUGGCUACGAAAGGCAAAAGAAAGGUUUACAAAGCAAAUGUGACACAUUUUUUUGAAAUAUUUAGGAAUAUCAGUAAAUUGCAUUAAAAAAAUGUAUGAAAAGAUUUUGUUCAAUAAAAAUGUUUAUAAGUA
Molecule: long non-coding RNA, 843 nt
Organism: Diabrotica virgifera virgifera (western corn rootworm)
Lineage: Eukaryota; Metazoa; Arthropoda; Insecta; Coleoptera; Chrysomelidae
Exons: 3
Source: RefSeq, a predicted model, not a curated record